Long non-coding RNA from Fundulus heteroclitus (mummichog), 1378 nucleotides. RefSeq lists it as uncharacterized. NCBI's taxonomy places the organism in Eukaryota, Metazoa, Chordata, Actinopteri, Cyprinodontiformes, Fundulidae. The transcript is spliced from 6 exons. The record is from RefSeq and is a predicted model, not a curated record.
UACCCACACCAAUUUCUCAAAAACGAAAGUUGCACAAACGAAAAUGUCAACGGCACAAACCUGCACAAACGGAGCACUAACGAACUAGCCCACUUUAAUUUGUUGGCGAACAGUACAGCUUGUGGUCAUAGAUAAUAUUCAUUCAUAUUUUUUAAAACUGCACAUGCACAGAAAAGGGAAAUGUUUUGGUCAAGGUUUGUCAGCAGGCCAGCUUCAUGAAUCUUCAAAUGUUAAGGGCAUGUUUAAGCCUUUUGAGAUAUAUUCUACUAUGGACUAUCUACUAAAUGACAGCCUUACAAACUUUUUUUUUUAUUUUUUUAUUUGUUUGUUUGUUUUUUUGUGCCAGAUCUGUCAGUGUGCAGACCAGACUGUUGGGGCCUACCCCAUUUAAGACAUCUGCUUGCCAGAUCAGGCAUCAGAGUCACAGGUUGACUAUGUGCUCGAUGCCAGAAGAUCAGAAACCAAGAAUAUUGGGACAAUUGGCACUACCAACUUAAAACGGCAAGACUUCCAGUCACUUGGUUUGCAGCACAACUUGGAAGCGACAAUUGCCAACAGCUGCAUGGAGCUCAUUUGUGACAUGGCCUGGUGGAAGAAGAAGGAUGUGUAUGCACCGGAUGCCUAUGUCGUUGCCACUUGGCAUGCACCAAGUUUUCCAGGACACUUUUCUUAAUUUACAGGCUGAUGCAGCAUCAAAAGAUUUCCUGAUUUUUCCUGUGUGGAAACCAGGACACUGGUUCCUCUGUAGCACCAUGGCAAGAAUCGAUGAAGCAGUAUGCUGGAUACGGGUCAACAUGUCUCUUUUCCGUGGACAUGUUGAACUGCCCAGCAUAUUGUCCAUGACAGCAGAGGAUCGACAGCAGUUCUUUCAGAACAUUGCCAAUGAUGACGACAUCCAUGAUUCAAGAGAAUGUCUCCUUUUUGUUUUUGAAUAUCAAGAAGAUUACACAGUUUUUUUUUUUAUUCUUGUUCAGCUGUGUCGGCAAUGUUUAACACCCCUACCCUUUCCCCUUAGCCAGAGGACAGGCACCACCCCUGGCCUAUCUAUCUAAUCUUUAAUUGUUGUUGUUAUGUUGACUUUUAUUUGUGAAAAAUACAUUUAUUUUUGGAUAAACUUGUUUGGACUUAUUGUAAAAACCUAUUUAACCCCUAUACUAUGUUGAAAAAAUAUAUUGAUUAUGUUGCGGAUCAUUUUGACCCGUACUAUGUAAAUGAAUGCAAAACAGUCACAAAAACAGGUUAAACCAAUAAACAAUUAAUAAUAUUAUUAUUGCAUGCAAUACAAUUUUAAUUAAUAAAUACUUUAUUUAAUAGCUAUUUUGUGUGGGUGUUUUCCCUCAUCACAAACACGUUUCGCAAUAUUACUGUGUACCUUCUG